AUGAAGACCGAGCUGGCAGCUCUCCGCUCCAUUCUUACUGCUUUUGGCCUGGCUUCCGGGCUUAAGGUAAACUUCGAGAAAAGUGUCGUCCUCCCCAUAAGGUGCGAGCAGUUGGACGUGCAUGACGUGAUCUCACCUCUAAGGGCUAGGGUUGAGAGCUUCCCCUGCAAAUUUUUGGGGCUGCCGCUGUCGCUUCGGACCUUGCGUAAAGUGGACCUGCAACCGCUGCUGGACAAGCUCCGCACACGCCUGGCGCGCUGGAAGGCCGGGUUGCUCACCCUUGCUGGUAGACUGGUUCUCCUCAACUCCGUCCUGACUGCUUUCACCAUAUACUGGUCGGCCGUCUAUGCGCUCCCGCCAUGGGUUCGUAAGGAGUUGGAUCGGCUACGGCGUGCAUGGUUAUGGCGUGGGGAGGAGGUGUGCCAUGGCGGGCACUGCAAAGUUGUGUGGAGCCGCGUUUGCCGCCCGCGUGAUCUUGGCGGGCUCGGUAUCGUCGACCUGGAGCGGUUUGGCAUGGCGCUCCGCCUCCGCUGGCUCUGGGCGGAAAGGACCUCCGUCGUCCCUUGGCAGGGUUUACCGGUCCCAGUGACACUUGCGGAACGACAUAUGUUUGCGGCGGCAUGUGCGGUCACCGUUGGGGAUGGCAACCGAGUCAGUUUCUGGUACGAUAGCUGGCUGCCCGAGGGCGCGCCACUCGUGAUCGCCCCUGAUCUAUUCAAGGUCUCAAGACGCAAGGUGCGCUCCGUGCGUCAGCACUGUUAG
This 762-nucleotide ribosomal RNA is filed under the name Triticum aestivum (bread wheat). RNAcentral describes it as "partial small subunit ribosomal RNA". Lineage: Eukaryota; Viridiplantae; Streptophyta; Magnoliopsida; Poales; Poaceae. The record is from RNAcentral.